Molecule: non-coding RNA, 176 nt
Filed under: Linnemannia elongata AG-77
Lineage: Eukaryota; Fungi; Mortierellomycota; Mortierellomycetes; Mortierellales; Mortierellaceae
Description: Mortierella elongata AG-77 Eukaryotic large subunit ribosomal RNA
Rfam family: Eukaryotic large subunit ribosomal RNA
Source: Rfam by way of RNAcentral
GACAAUUGGCUUGUGGCAGUCAAGCGUUCAUAACGACGUUGCAUUUUGAUCCUUCGAUGUUGGCUCUUCCUAUCAUACUGGGGCAGAAUUCAGUUAGCGUUGGAUUGUUCACCCACUAAUAGAGACGUGAGCUGGGGUUAGACCGACAAUCUUUCCGCCGAAGGGAACCAAGGGUC